Molecule: ribosomal RNA, 207 nt
Filed under: uncultured delta proteobacterium
Lineage: Bacteria; Deltaproteobacteria
Description: partial 16S ribosomal RNA
Rfam family: Bacterial small subunit ribosomal RNA
Source: RNAcentral
CGCGUAGGCGGUUUUACAAGUCAGAUGUGAAAGCCCAUGGCUCAACCAUGGACGUGCAUUUGAAACUGUAAGACUUGAGUAUUGGAGGGGUGGUGGAAUUCCCGGUGUAGAGGUGAAAUUCGUAGAUAUCGGGAGGAAUACCAGUGGCGAAGGCGACCACCUGGCCAAAUACUGACGCUCAUGUGCGAAAGCGUGGGGAGCAAAACA